Molecule: ribosomal RNA, 496 nt
Filed under: uncultured bacterium
Lineage: Bacteria
Description: partial 16S ribosomal RNA
Rfam family: Bacterial small subunit ribosomal RNA
Source: RNAcentral
GAUGAACGCUGGCGGCGUGCCUAAUACAUGCAAGUCGAGCGAACAGACGAGGAGCUUGCUCCUCUGACGUUAGCGGCGGACGGGUGAGUAACACGUGGAUAACCUACCUAUAAGACUGGGAUAACUUCGGGAAACCGGAGCUAAUACCGGAUAAUAUAUUGAACCGCAUGGUUCAAUAGUGAAAGACGGUUUUGCUGUCACUUAUAGAUGGAUCCGCGCCGCAUUAGCUAGUUGGUAAGGUAACGGCUUACCAAGGCAACGAUGCGUAGCCGACCUGAGAGGGUGAUCAGCCACUCUGGAACUGAGACACGGUCCAGACUCCUACGGGAGGCAGCAGUAGGGAAUCUUCCGCAAGGGGCGAAAGCCUGACGGAGCAACGCCGCGUGAGUGAUGAAGGUCUUCGGAUCGUAAAACUCUGUUAUUAGGGAAGAACAAAUGUGUAAGUAACGAUGCACGUCUUGACGGUACCUAAUCAGAAAGCCACGGCUAACUACGU